GGCACUAUAGCCAAGUGGUUAAGGCGACAGAUUAGAAUGACCUGCAAUGUUUGCUAUCUGUUACUCUUUGAGUGCGCAGGUUCAAAUCCUGCUGGUGUCG
Non-coding RNA from Armillaria novae-zelandiae, 100 nucleotides. The record is from the annotation of a GenBank genome assembly. Lineage: Eukaryota; Fungi; Basidiomycota; Agaricomycetes; Agaricales; Physalacriaceae.